AUUGAACGCUGGCGGCAGGCCUAACACAUGCAAGUCGAGCAGGGACUUCGGUCCUAGCGGCGAACGGGUGAGUAAUGCUUGGGAAUCUGCCCAGUAGUGGGGGAUAACGUCCCGAAAGGGACGCUAAUACCGCAUACGUCCUACGGGAGAAAGAGGGGGAUCUUCGGACCUCUCGCUAUUGGAUGAGCCCAAGUCGGAUUAGCUAGUUGGUAGGGUAAUGGCCUACCAAGGCGACGAUCCGUAGCUGGUCUGAGAGGAUGAUCAGCCACACUGGAACUGAGACACGGUCCAGACUCCUACGGGAGGCAGCAGUGGGGAAUAUUGGACAAUGGGCGAAAGCCUGAUCCAGCCAUGCCGCGUGUGUGAAGAAGGCCUUCGGGUUGUAAAGCACUUUAAGCGGGGAGGAAGGUUCGCGGCCUAAUACGUCGCGGAAUUGACGUUACCCGCAGAAUAAGCACCGGCUAACUCUGUG
This 472-nucleotide ribosomal RNA is filed under the name uncultured bacterium. Its description in RNAcentral is "partial 16S ribosomal RNA". It matches the Rfam family "Bacterial small subunit ribosomal RNA", at positions 30 to 507 of the family's 1533-position model. The record is from RNAcentral.